RNAcentral lists this ribosomal RNA (283 nucleotides) under uncultured Chroococcales cyanobacterium. Its description in RNAcentral is "partial 16S ribosomal RNA". It matches the Rfam family "Bacterial small subunit ribosomal RNA", at positions 355 to 653 of the family's 1533-position model. The record is from RNAcentral. Lineage: Bacteria; Bacillati; Cyanobacteriota; Cyanophyceae; Chroococcales.
UGGGGAAUUUUCCGCAAUGGGCGAAAGCCUGACGGAGCAACGCCGCGUGUGGGAAGAAGGCUCUUGGGCUGUCAACCACUUUUCUCAGGGAAGAAGUCCUGACGGUACCUGAGGAAUCAGCCUCGGCUAACUCCGUGCCAGCAGCCGCGGUAAUACGGAGGAGGCAAGCGUUAUCCGGAAUUAUUGGGCGUAAAGCGUCCGCAGGGGGCGCAUCAAGUCUGCUGUCAAAGGCCGGAGCUUAACUCCGGUUGAGCAGUGGAUACUGNUGCGCUAGAAGGCGACA